GAUGAAGAACGCAGCGAAAUGCGAUACGUAAUGUGAAUUGCAAAUUCAGUGAAUCAUCGAGUCUUUGAACGCAUAUUGCGCCCCCUGGUAUUCCGGGGGGCAUGCCUGUCCGAGCGUCAUUGCUGCCCUCAAGCACGGCUUGUGUGUUGGGCCCCGUCCUCCGAUCCCGGGGGACGGGCCCGAAAGGCAGCGGCGGCACCGCGUCCGGUCCUCGAGCGUAUGGGGCUUUGUCACCCGCUCUGUAGGCCCGGCCGGCGCUUGCCGAUCAACCCAAAUUUUUUAUCCAGGUUGACCUCGGAUCAGGUAGGGAUACCCGCUGAACUUAAGCAUAUCAAUAAGCGGAGGA
Molecule: unclassified non-coding RNA, 346 nt
Filed under: soil metagenome
Description: partial contains 5.8S ribosomal RNA, internal transcribed spacer 2, and large subunit ribosomal RNA
Rfam family: 5.8S ribosomal RNA (bases 1-119)
Source: RNAcentral